This 446-nucleotide unclassified non-coding RNA is filed under the name uncultured Bordetella sp. RNAcentral's name for it is "partial 16S-23S ribosomal RNA intergenic spacer". The record is from RNAcentral. Lineage: Bacteria; Pseudomonadati; Pseudomonadota; Betaproteobacteria; Burkholderiales; Alcaligenaceae.
ACUACGGGGUAUCUAAUCCUGUUUUGCCUCCCCACGCUCGUGCAUGAGCGUCAGUGUUAUCCCAGGAGGCUGCCUUCGCCAUCGGUGUUCUCGCAUAUCUGCAUUCACUGCUACACGCGGAAUUCCACCUCCCUCCUGACACUCUAGCUCGGUAGUUAAAAAUGCAGUUCCAAAGUUAAGCUCUGGUUCACAUCUUUCUUUCCGAACCGCCUGCGCACGCUUUUACGCCAGUAAUUCCGAUUAACGCUUGCACCUACGUAUUACCGCGGCUGCUGGCGUGGUUAGCCGUUGCUUAUUCUGCGGGUACCGUCAGUGCAGAUAUUAGCGUCUGUGCCAUUUUCUCUCACCAAAAAUUCACUUUACAACCGAGGCCUUCAUCGCACACGCGGGAUGGCUGGACCAGGGUUUUCCCCAUUGUCCAAAAUUCCCCACUGCUGCGUCCCGUA